AUGGCGGUGGUCUAAGGGUGUAGUGUAUUUAAAGAUAUAUACCCGUAGUGCCAUCACCACG
RNAcentral lists this microRNA precursor (61 nucleotides) under Panagrellus redivivus. RNAcentral's name for it is "microRNA prd-mir-5358a precursor". Lineage: Eukaryota; Metazoa; Nematoda; Chromadorea; Rhabditida; Panagrolaimidae. The record is from miRBase by way of RNAcentral.